CUACGGGUGGCUGCAGUGGGGAAUAUUGGACAAUGGGGGCAACCCUGAUCCAGCAAUGCCGCGUGUGUGAAGAAGGCCUGCGGGUUGUAAAGCACUUUCAAUUGUGAAGAAAAGCUUGGGGUUAAUAACCUCGAGUCUUGACGUUAACUUUAGAAGAAGCACCGGCUAACUCUGUGCCAGCAGCCGCGGUAAUACAGAGGUGCGAGCGUUAAUCGGAAUUACUGGGCGUAAAGCGUACGUAGGCGGUUUAGUAAGUCAGAUGUGAAAGCCCUGGGCUCAACCUGGGAACUGCAUUUGAAACUGCUAGACUAGAGUGCGGUAGAGGGAAGUGGAAUUCCGGGUGUAGCGGUGAAAUGCGUAGAUAUCCGGAGGAACACCAGUGGCGAAGGCGACUUCCUGGACCAAGACUGACACUGAGGUGCGAAAGCGUGGGUAGCAAACAGGAUUAGAUACCCGCGUAGUC
RNAcentral lists this ribosomal RNA (463 nucleotides) under uncultured bacterium. Its description in RNAcentral is "partial 16S ribosomal RNA". It matches the Rfam family "Bacterial small subunit ribosomal RNA", at positions 339 to 795 of the family's 1533-position model. The record is from RNAcentral.